RNAcentral lists this ribosomal RNA (465 nucleotides) under uncultured bacterium. Its description in RNAcentral is "partial 16S ribosomal RNA". It matches the Rfam family "Bacterial small subunit ribosomal RNA", at positions 28 to 507 of the family's 1533-position model. The record is from RNAcentral.
GACGAACGCUGGCGGCGUGCUUAACACAUGCAAGUCGAACGGAAAGGCCCCUUUGGGGGUACUCGAGUGGCGAACGGGUGAGUAACACGUGAGUAACCUGCCCUUGACUUCGGGAUAACUUCAGGAAACUGGGGCUAAUACCGGAUAGGAAUCCUUGCUGCAUGGUGGGGGUUGGAAAGCUUCGGCGGUUUUGGAUGGACUCGCGGCUUAUCAGCUUGUUGGUGGGGUAGUGGCUUACCAAGGCUUUGACGGGUAGCCGGCCUGAGAGGGCGACCGGCCACAUUGGGACUGAGAUACGGCCCAGACGCCGACGGGAGGCAGCAGUGGGGAAUAUUGCACAAGGGGCGGAAGCCUGAUGCAGCAACGCCGCGGGCGGGAGGACGGCCUUCGGGUUGGAAACCGCUUUCAGCAGGGGCGAAGCUUGUGGUGACGGUACCUGCAGAAGAAGCACCGGCUAACUACGUG